RNAcentral lists this transfer RNA (75 nucleotides) under Clostridium sp. RNAcentral describes it as "tRNA-Arg". It matches the Rfam family "tRNA". From Rfam's summary of the family: Transfer RNA (tRNA) molecules are approximately 80 nucleotides in length. Their secondary structure includes four short double-helical elements and three loops (D, anti-codon, and T loops). The record is from RNAcentral. Lineage: Bacteria; Bacillati; Bacillota; Clostridia; Eubacteriales; Clostridiaceae.
GCACCAUUAGUCCAGUGGAUAGGACAAAGGUCUCCGAAGCCUUAGGCACAGGUUCGACUCCUGUAUGGUGCACCA